Molecule: ribosomal RNA, 116 nt
Filed under: Paenibacillus suaedae
Lineage: Bacteria; Bacillati; Bacillota; Bacilli; Caryophanales; Paenibacillaceae
Description: partial 16S ribosomal RNA
Rfam family: Bacterial small subunit ribosomal RNA
Source: RNAcentral
CACCCGAAGUCGGUGAGGUAACCGCAAGGAGCCAGCCGCCGAAGGUGGGGUAGAUGAUUGGGGUGAAGUCGUAACAAGGUAGCCGUAUCGGAAGGUGCGGCUGGAUCACCUCCUUU